Scleropages formosus (Asian bonytongue) is the source of this 76-nucleotide small nucleolar RNA. Ensembl annotates it as small nucleolar RNA SNORD49. NCBI's taxonomy places the organism in Eukaryota, Metazoa, Chordata, Actinopteri, Osteoglossiformes, Osteoglossidae. The record is from Ensembl.
UCCUGUGAUGAUAACCUGGAAUAGGAAGUGCCGUCCGAUGCGAUAACUGACGAGUUUGUUCUCAUUCAUUCUGAGA